Long non-coding RNA from Mesocricetus auratus (golden hamster), 676 nucleotides. RefSeq lists it as uncharacterized. The record is from RefSeq and is a predicted model, not a curated record. The transcript has 2 exons. NCBI's taxonomy places the organism in Eukaryota, Metazoa, Chordata, Mammalia, Rodentia, Cricetidae.
AGCGACCAUCCAGGAGACAGGGGCGUUUUAUCACCUCAGUCGAUGAGUGUUAGCUGCGGCCUGGUAACUGACAGAGGUCUGGCCCUAUAAAGGAAGGAAGUCAAAUGGAGGUUUCCAGAGAGAUUUGGUAGACAUCAAUCAAUCCUCCCAAGAUGCCCUACAUCCAGAAGCUGGUGACUGAAGAGUCUCAGAGUCAGGGUACCGUCAGCCCCACCUCAGCCUAAGAGACAUUUUUUUUAGUGUCAAAGAAAGUGACGCAUGUGCUGUGUCUGCUUCCCAGUCACCUGGCACAGGAACAAUCAAAAGUCCCCUCUGCUGGGGAAAGGCCACGGUCCAAGAUUUCAGUGAAGGAAGUGGUGGACUUCGAGAACGGGACUCAGCUGGAGCUGAGACGAGGAUUUGGGAGGACACAGCUACGUCUGCUGUGUGCAGAUCACAGUCUGAGCAGUGAGCCAGUCCACAGACAAAGGUGGCUCCAUGGAUUAUGACGGGACUGAGAAAUGCCAGUCAUCUCGUGAAAUCACAGCUGUGAUGGCAGCAUGCACAAAACACUCCCCGUAUGAUUGUGGUGACACUGAUAUAAGCGAAUGCACUGAGCUGCAAAUUGUAUAAAAGCGUAGCUCACACACUCACACGCUACUCAGCACUUAAUGGUGAUAAAAGACUAUGCUGCUGA